This 322-nucleotide ribosomal RNA is filed under the name uncultured eukaryote. RNAcentral's name for it is "partial 18S ribosomal RNA". It matches the Rfam family "Eukaryotic small subunit ribosomal RNA", at positions 1470 to 1796 of the family's 1831-position model. The record is from RNAcentral.
CCCUUAGAUGUUCUGGGCCGCACGCGUGCUACACUGAGUGGAUCAGCGGGUCAGGUUGCGCGAAAGCGUUUCCUAAUCUUUAAAUCCGCUCGUGAUGGGGAUUGACGGUUGCAAUUUUCUGUCAUGAACGAGGAAUACCUUGUAAGCGCGGGUCAUCAUCCCGCGCUGAAUACGUCCCUGCCCUUUGUACACACCGCCCGUCGCUCCUACCGAUUGAGUGGUCCUGUGAGGCUUUGGGAUCUGAGCGGAAAGAGCGUUUCGCUGUUUCUGCUCGGAAAACUCAGUCGAACCUUAUCAUUUAGAGGAAGGAGAAGUCGUAACA